UACGGGGGGUGCGAGCGUUGUCCGGAAUCACUGGGCGUAAAGGGCGCGUAGGUGGUCUGAUAAGGGUGUGGUGAAAGCCCGGGGCUCAACCCCGGGUCGGCCGUGCCGACUGUUGGACUAGAGUGCUGUAGGGGCAGGCGGAAUUCCGGGUGUAGCGGUGAAAUGCGUAGAUAUCUGGAGGAAUACCGGUGGCGAAGGCGGCAUCCUGGACCGAGAUUGACACUGAUGAGCGAAAGCUAGGGGAGCAAACGGG
Molecule: ribosomal RNA, 253 nt
Filed under: uncultured bacterium
Lineage: Bacteria
Description: partial 16S ribosomal RNA
Rfam family: Bacterial small subunit ribosomal RNA
Source: RNAcentral